RNAcentral lists this ribosomal RNA (2337 nucleotides) under Streptococcus pyogenes. RNAcentral's name for it is "bacterial LSU rRNA". It matches the Rfam family "Bacterial large subunit ribosomal RNA", at positions 1 to 2357 of the family's 2925-position model. The record is from RNAcentral. Lineage: Bacteria; Bacillati; Bacillota; Bacilli; Lactobacillales; Streptococcaceae.
UAAGGUUAAGUUAAUAAGGGCGCACGGUGGAUGCCUUGGCACUAGAAGCCGAAGAAGGACGUGACAAACGACGAAAUGCUUUGGGGAGCUGUAAGUAAGCGCUGAUCCAGAGAUGUCCGAAUGGGGGAACCCACUAACUAAUGGUUAGUAUCCAUAACUGUUAAGGUUAUGAGAAGGAAGACGCAGUGAACUGAAACAUCUAAGUAGCUGCAGGAAGAGAAAGCAAACGCGAUUGCCUUAGUAGCGGCGAGCGAAACGGCAGGAGGGCAAACCGAAGUGUUUACACUUCGGGGUUGUAGGACUGCGACGUGGGACUUUAAAAGGAUAGAAGAAUUACCUGGAAAGGUAAGCCAAAGAGAGUAAAAGCCUCGUAUUUAAAAUUCUUUUGAGCCCUAGCAGUAUCCUGAGUACGGCGAGACACGUGAAAUCUCGUUGGAAUCUGGGAGGACCAUCUCCCAACCCUAAAUACUCUCUAGUGACCGAUAGUGAACCAGUACCGUGAGGGAAAGGUGAAAAGCACCCCGGGAGGGGAGUGAAAUAGAACCUGAAACCGUGUGCCUACAACAAGUUCGAGCCCGUUAAUGGGUGAGAGCGUGCCUUUUGUAGAAUGAACCGGCGAGUUACGAUAUGAUGCGAGGUUAAGUUGAAGAGACGGAGCCGUAGGGAAACCGAGUCUUAAUAGGGCGAUUUAGUAUCAUGUUGUAGACCCGAAACCAUGUGACCUACCCAUGAGCAGGUUGAAGGUGAGGUAAAACUCACUGGAGGACCGAACCAGGGCACGUUGAAAAGUGCUUGGAUGACUUGUGGGUAGCGGAGAAAUUCCAAACGAACUUGGAGAUAGCUGGUUCUCUCCGAAAUAGCUUUAGGGCUAGCGUCGAUGUUAAGUCUCUUGGAGGUAGAGCACUGUUUGGGUGAGGGGUCCAUCUCGGAUUACCAAUCUCAGAUAAACUCCGAAUGCCAACGAGAUAUCAUCGGCAGUCAGACUGCGAGUGCUAAGAUCCGUAGUCGAAAGGGAAACAGCCCAGACCACCAGCUAAGGUCCCAAAAUAACUGUUAAGUGGAAAAGGAUGUGGGGUUGCACAGACAACUAGGAUGUUAGCUUAGAAGCAGCUAUUCAUUCAAAGAGUGCGUAAUAGCUCACUAGUCGAGUGACCCUGCGCCGAAAAUGUACCGGGGCUAAAACAGUUUACCGAAGCUGUGGAUGACACAAAAGUGUCAUGGUAGGAGAGCGUUCUAUGUGUGAAGAAGGUGUACCGUGAGGAGCGCUGGAACGCAUAGAAGUGAGAAUGCCGGUAUGAGUAGCGCAAGACAGGUGAGAAUCCUGUCCACCGUAAGACUAAGGUUUCCAGGGGAAGGCUCGUCCGCCCUGGGUUAGUCGGGACCUAAGGAGAGACCGAAAGGUGUAUCCGAUGGCCAACAGGUUGAUAUUCCUGUACUAGAGUAUAUAGUGAUGGAGGGACGCAGUAGGCUAACUAAACCGGACGAUUGGAAGAGUCCGGCUAAGCAGUGAGGUGUAAGAUGAGUCAAAUGCUUAUCUUUAUAACAUUGAGCUGUGAUGGGGAGCGAAUUUUAGUAGCGAAGUUAGUGAUGUCACACUGCCAAGAAAAGCUUCUAGCGUUUAAUGAUACUCUACCCGUACCGCAAACCGACACAGGUAGUCGAGGCGAGUAGCCUCAGGUGAUCGAGAGAACUCUCGUUAAGGAACUCGGCAAAAUGACCCCGUAACUUCGGGAGAAGGGGUGCUGACUUAGGUCAGCCGCAGUGAAUAGGCCCAAGCAACUGUUUAUCAAAAACACAGCUCUCUGCUAAAUCGUAAGAUGAUGUAUAGGGGGUGACGCCUGCCCGGUGCUGGAAGGUUAAGAGGAGGGUUUAGCGCAAGCGAAGAUCUGAAUUGAAGCCCCAGUAAACGGCGGCCGUAACUAUAACGGUCCUAAGGUAGCGAAAUUCCUUGUCGGGUAAGUUCCGACCCGCACGAAAGGCGUAAUGAUUUGGGCACUGUCUCAACGAGAGACUCGGUGAAAUUUUAGUACCUGUGAAGAUGCAGGUUACCCGCGACAGGACGGAAAGACCCCAUGGAGCUUUACUGCAGUUUGAUAUUGAGUAUCUGUACCACAUGUACAGGAUAGGUAGGAGCCAUUGACUUCGGGACGCCAGUUUCGAAUGAGGCGUUGUUGGGAUACUACCCUUGUGUUAUGGCUACUCUAACCCAGAUAGGUUAUCCCUAUCGGAGACAGUGUCUGACGGGCAGUUUGACUGGGGCGGUCGCCUCCUAAAGAGUAACGGAGGCGCCCAAAGGUUCCCUCAGAUUGGUUGGAAAUCAAUCGCAGAGUGUAAAGG